AUAAUCCUAUAUCCGAUUCAAAUUCCUUCAAACAUUACACCUAUACUCCUGAUAUUUUCUAAUACAUCGAUAUUCAUUUCAACGCAUAAAAGAUCAAUCUUCAUUCUUACACAUAGAAAAACGAUCUUCAUUUACACAUACGAGAUCUAACAAGUUCAUUUUUCUUUUUAAUCAAUACAAACACCGCAACAAAUCUCAUUUCCUCCAAAUCAUAUAUCCGGUUCAAAUUCCUUAACAAAUAUCACACAUAUACAAAUUCCUAUAUCUUCUAAUACAUAAAACCUCAUCUUAUAUAAAAAACAAAAAUGGAAAGCAAAAAGAAGUACGAGAGGUUUGUCCGGCAGCGUAUCAUGCAUCUGAUAAAAAGGACUAUCAUCUCCCUUAGCCACAUCCUUCAAAUCCUCCUCCGUCAGCUCAAAUAGACCAUCUUCAUCGUGAAUUCUUCCUAUUUCUUUCUUUGCCGAUGAAAAAAUAAACAAUUUACAAAGGUUCCGGUAGGGUUCUGACAAUCAAAAG
RNAcentral lists this long non-coding RNA (516 nucleotides) under Capsicum annuum. RNAcentral describes it as "long non-coding RNA (CANN_LNC004298)". Lineage: Eukaryota; Viridiplantae; Streptophyta; Magnoliopsida; Solanales; Solanaceae. The record is from RNAcentral.